Molecule: long non-coding RNA, 3739 nt
Filed under: Sorghum bicolor (sorghum)
Lineage: Eukaryota; Viridiplantae; Streptophyta; Magnoliopsida; Poales; Poaceae
Description: long non-coding RNA (SBIC_LNC004841)
Source: RNAcentral
GCUACUAUCUAGAUCUACUCUAGUUUAGAGAAGAGAGGAGAGCUCUCAUCUCUAAACCCUAGCUUUUGCUCUGUCUAUGAAUAAUGAAUAAUCAUCAAGGGGGUUGCCUCCUCCAGGGGCCAGGGGGUCUGGUUUUAUAGUCCCCUCAAGUGAACCUGGGCCGUCGGAUCAAACCGACAUUGAUUGAACGGUUAUUCUUGAUCCUUUAGGUCGGUGGAGCAUAAUCCGCGAGAUUGAGCGUGAUUGGCUACAGGAGGUGGGCGGGCGCCUAGUAGGACAGGGCGGGCGCCCUGUCUCUGGCCCCGUUUCGCCUCCGCUUCGGUCUCGUGGCUUCUUGAGUCUUCUAGAUGUAAGAUAAUUGCGCAGCACAUUAAUAUCUUUACGUAAUCCUGACAUGUGGGCCUUUCUUCCAUAUUUCCUGAUAACCCCCCUGCAGAAAUAGACAAACACCAAAACUCGUGGAAUUCUGUCAGAUAAAACCCUAAGUCUUGAUGUUGAUUUCAUUUGGAUCCUUUUCUUUGUUUAUUUAAUAGUUAAAUUUGAUACUUAAGGACCGUCAACAAACUCCCCCAAGCUUACCUCUUGCUCGUCCCUAAGCAAGGAUAGACUCAGCUAUGGAUCAUAAGUUGUUGCAAUAUCUUUAAAAAUUGACGGUACACAUGCUUUUAAAUGAGGUCUCAUCUCUGAGUUAGAGUAAACUGUCAAGACUUAAAACUUACUUACUUUACCUUUCACCAUGGGACUUGUAACCGUCACUUCUGUCUUGAGUAGUUAAAAGAUAGAACAGUCUAGCCAAGUGCCAUGUCUCUUAUUCUUGAUCAGCUAUAGCUCUGGAGUUUUUGUAGAUUUUCAAAUAAAACUCAGAGAUUCCUUGUAUGACUCUCUAAAUCUCUCUUUUGUGGUAUUUCUGGAUCCUUACCAAGGCAGUGAUAGUAUAUGCCUUCUCUCAAGAUAUGUGGUAUUUGUGGUAUAAGGCAUAGUGACAUUGCCUUCUCUCUCACCCUACUCUUAAUAAGGCUUUAAUAUCUGGAGCUCAUAGGUGGGAGAUAAAAUAUACAUACUUACAAGACAUUUAUUGUAUAGUCAAACCAUGGAUCCAAAGAAACAAAUCAAUAAGCCAAAUCAAGAUGUGCAUGUGUGGCCAAUGAAUAGUGUAUGGUGAUGAUGGUGAUAACAAUGGUGAAAGUCUAAUUCUACUUUUGCUCUUAUGAGGGGAUACAUACAUUCCUUGCUUUUUGAAACUUUAUAAGGAGAAUGAGAUGCUCUUCUUUUUCUUUUCUCUCAGAUGGGUAUCCUGUACCCCUAAUUCUACUGUCGGACACUUGUCCAUUUUUACCUCUCGUCUUACUUUUUUUUUCUUUCGAGGUUCCGGGCACUUGCCCCUUUUUAUUUCCUCGUUUAUUAUUUUUUUCUUUUCUUUUUUUUUCAGAGAACUCAUAUCUUGAGAUAAUAUAGCAAGUGGUAGUAGCAAGAUAACUUGAGCAUUUAUUUCACAAGGAAAAAACACAGAUGUUUUUGGCUAUUCUCUACCGAAUUAGGAGUAGAAUAUUUUUAGGUGAUUCUGGAGAUAGAAAUGGAUGGAUAUAUGUGGAUGGUACUUCCAGAGUAGAAGUAGCAUAUAUAUGAGUGAACGUGCAAGUGAAUCUUGAUUUAAUCACAUGACAAGCUCCUAAGGGUCUGCACAGCUUGACCACACUCAAUGCUCAUAACCAGUAAAUAAUAAAUGUGUGGCUCAAAGUCUAGCAAGCAUGUAUAUAUGGCUGUGGUAGGAAUUUAAACUCUCAUCAUACAGGAACUCAUCAUGCAACAUUUUAAAGAUUUUCAAAGAUAAAAUUCUCCAGAGUUCUAGCAUUUCUAGGAACAGAUAAACUGCAGCUCAACCUUCCUAUAUCUUAUCCGUUAACAAGAUCAAGAUUUCAUCCCACAAGUUUAGAUCUAGAGCAAGCUUUAAAUUAUAACAGUUAUGUCUAAACUUGAGAGAGAACUUUAAAUUUGCAAAUUAGGCAGAGCAACUAUUCAUCAUAUCCAUGCUAGAGUUUUUAUAGUUUAUGUAUUUUAAUAUUCUAAUAUAAUAUAAGUAUAAAGAUAGGUAGAAAUACUUAGCGAGAUAAAUAGGGGUGCUCUCCCCCAAGCUGAAUUUUGACGUAAUAUCUCUUGAUGUAGCUAGCAGGUGGCAGAGGUGUAUUUGAAAGGCAACAGCAUUCUGACAGCGAUUAGAAUGUCCUCCGUCUACUAGUCUUCUUGAUUCUUAAAUUCUGUGGAGCUCAAAUAGACAACAAAUCUUGUGGAACUAAUUAAGUGUUAGCAUAAAUAUCUAGCCUUCAUCACGUUGAGCUUCCUUAAUAAAUAUUACUCCCUGUUUUUAUAUUUUUAUUUUAUAAAGUAGAAAAGAAAUAUUUAUUUUAUUUUUAUGGCACCACAGUGAAGGUACUUAUGGGUUUUAUGCCACUCGUAUACUCACAUGGGGCUUAGUAUUUUUUAACAUUUUUAUUUUCUUUUCAAGAUAGCAUGAUUAACUAAUAAUCUAUUUAAGGAAAGUAAAUAAUUAAAUGGAAAAGGGAAUGCAGAAAGGAUAAAUAUGGAUAACUACCAAUCUUACCUUUCGGCGAGGGUUCAAUGUUUUAAGUCUUCUUGUCAAGACUUCUCAUCGUGUUCAUUCUUUAGGUGCGUCAUUUGAUUCAGGUGCAGACCUUGACGUCUGCACCUUUUAAUAUGGUGUCACCCAUGUUCUUCGUUUGCCCAGCAGUUCGAAGUGCGGUGUUAGCAGUAUCUUGCUCAGUGUGUUUGUGCUCGUAGUGUACCUGCUCAUAGAGACAAGGCAGAGAUCAAGUGCAUGGGCCCUGUUGGUGGAAAACACCAACAGAACCAAAAGUGUAUUUGUUCUUCUCUAACCUUAAGCAUAGUGAGCAAGACAAGUUGAUGGAUGAUAAGUUCAUGAGUGUAGCACUUAUAACAUUUGUCAGAUCAGAUCGCUCAACCUUAUGGAAAGAUAAUCUAUCUAUGUAUAUGUCUUUUUCUUUAUAUCUCUCAAUGAUUGAAUGUGUAACAUUUUAGCUCAUAUGCUUAGGAGUGUGGGAUCAUGGAAGUAGUACUAAGAACAAGGAUUAAAGGACUAAACAUGUUGAAUCAGUUGGGUUGGUUAAUCUAGAGUUGUAAAUCAUACACGUUUAUCUCUUUUAUUUAUAUGAACGCCAGAACCAAGGAGAAGCUUAUAAAAGUGAUAGUCAAGUACCUUAGGAUGUUACCUUGCUUGAAAAGUGAUGGUACAGUAUCACCUUGUGGAAGCUUUCCUUUCUUAGCGGUUGUGCAUCGUGUUCGUGGCACCCUCCAUGGAUCAUUUCUCUAUGAUGAAUGAGCUAUGUCCUUCUUGUGCAAAUUGUUAAACUUCAUGUGUCACUCUCUUCGUCUCUGAUGUGAGUUUAUCUCAGGACUUCCCAAAUCGAUAUUGAAAGUUUUUCUGCAGUGGUUAGUCCGACAAAAUAUACCAAUAUCUACUCAAGCAGUUUUUUUUUAGUUCAAUAACCAAACUAGACUCCAUGUCUAAUCAGAUUAAGGAAGGCUAUUUAACCUAAGCACCAUGCUUAAUUUAAAUGCCAAUGGAAGUAUGACGAGUACUUCCAAACCAACACUUGCUAGUAAAUAGACAAAGGUAGCAUGACAGCAUUUAUAGAGAUCUACUCAAGUGGAGAUGAAGUAGUGUGAUUAGUAUUUCACAAAUUGAGCAUGUCUCAAAGGUAGG